Molecule: ribosomal RNA, 503 nt
Filed under: uncultured Planctomycetota bacterium
Lineage: Bacteria; Pseudomonadati; Planctomycetota
Description: bacterial SSU rRNA
Rfam family: Bacterial small subunit ribosomal RNA
Source: RNAcentral
CGUGGAGGAUGAAGGCCUUCGGGUUGUAAACUCCUGGUCAGGGGGGAGGAAAUCCAGGUGGGCUCUCCCAUCUGGUUGACCUAUCCCCAGAGGAAGCACGGGCUAAGUUCGUGCCAGCAGCCGCGGUAAGACGAACCGUGCAAACGUUGUUCGGAAUCACUGGGCUUAAAGGGCGCGUAGGCGGUGCGUUAAGUCGGCGGUGAAAUACUUCGGCUCAACCGGAGAAUUGCCGCUGAAACUGGCGUGCUGGAAGGAGGUAGAGGUGCAUGGAACUUCCGGUGGAGCGGUGAAAUGCGUUGAUAUCGGAAGGAACGCCUGUGGCGAAAGCGGUGCACUGGACCUCCUCUGACGCUGAGGCGCGAAAGCUAGGGUAGCGAACGGGAUUAGAUACCCCGGUAGUCCUAGCCGUAAACGAUGGGUACUAGAGAGUAGAUGCUCCGAUGCGUUUACUCUCGAAGCAAAAGUGCUAAGUACCCCGCCUGGGGGGUAUGGUCGCAAGGCUG